GUGCCAGCAGCCGCGGUAAAACGUAGGAAGCAAACGUUAUCCGGAGUUACUGGGCGUAAAGCGCGUGUAGGUGGAUUAGUAAGUUACUUAUAAAAGCUCCUGGCUAAACUAGGAGAGGUUGAGUGAUACUGCUAGUCUUGAAUAGAGGAGAGGUUGACGGAAUUCCGCGUGUAGUGGUGAAAUGCGUAGAGAUGCGGAAGAACACCAGUGGCGAAGGCGGUCAACUGGCCUCAUAUUGACACUCAGACGCGAAGGCAUGGGUAGCGAACGGGAUUAGAAACCCCAGUAGUCC
RNAcentral lists this ribosomal RNA (292 nucleotides) under uncultured bacterium. Its description in RNAcentral is "partial 16S ribosomal RNA". It matches the Rfam family "Bacterial small subunit ribosomal RNA", at positions 505 to 796 of the family's 1533-position model. The record is from RNAcentral.